CUUCUCUUUACUGUCUUCUAUCUUCUUUCAGUGGAACGUUUGUAUUCUCCACCUCAACUUUUCGCCUCCGAAGGAAGACCUGCAAGAAAGUACCUUGGUACAUCAUUUUCCAAUCCCGAAUCUGAAUACCACAGGGUUAAGGUUCAUGAAGACGAGUUCAAUAGACCGUCUGCAAAAGAUAUUUCCUCCAACACACCUGAAUAUGAAGCAAGUAUCGACAGUUUGGGUGAACUUGUUUACCACAUUGACUAUCAUGGAGUGACAACGCAUCCAAAUCCAACGCCCAAACAUCCAUAGCCAUAGGAAACAUAUCAACUUUUAAGAAGAAAUGAACUAUUCAUACAUGUACUGCACUUCAAAUACUCUCUUUUGUUUUACAAUGUAUUAAUUGCUCUUUUUUUCCAUGCUACAAUUAUAUACAAGGUGCAGCUUUGCCCCCAAAA
Molecule: non-coding RNA, 443 nt
Organism: Benincasa hispida (wax gourd)
Lineage: Eukaryota; Viridiplantae; Streptophyta; Magnoliopsida; Cucurbitales; Cucurbitaceae
Source: RefSeq, a predicted model, not a curated record